GGAGGGAUGGCCGAGCGGUUUAAGGCACCGGUCUUGAAAACCGGCGUGGCAGUGAUGUCACCGUGGGUUCGAAUCCCACUCCCUCCG
Molecule: transfer RNA, 87 nt
Filed under: Nitratireductor aestuarii
Lineage: Bacteria; Pseudomonadati; Pseudomonadota; Alphaproteobacteria; Hyphomicrobiales; Phyllobacteriaceae
Also listed under: 1 other name
Rfam family: tRNA
About the family: Transfer RNA (tRNA) molecules are approximately 80 nucleotides in length. Their secondary structure includes four short double-helical elements and three loops (D, anti-codon, and T loops).
Source: Rfam by way of RNAcentral